Small nuclear RNA from Dasypus novemcinctus (nine-banded armadillo), 104 nucleotides. Lineage: Eukaryota; Metazoa; Chordata; Mammalia; Cingulata; Dasypodidae. The record is from Ensembl.
GUGCUCGCUUCGGCAGCACGUCUACUAAAAUUAGAACAAUACAGAGAUUAGCACGGCCCCUGCACAAGGAUGACACGCAAAUCUGUGAAGCGUUCCCUAUUUUU